Amaranthus tricolor (Joseph's coat) is the source of this 1051-nucleotide long non-coding RNA. RefSeq lists it as uncharacterized. The record is from RefSeq and is a predicted model, not a curated record. Lineage: Eukaryota; Viridiplantae; Streptophyta; Magnoliopsida; Caryophyllales; Amaranthaceae. The transcript is spliced from 5 exons.
UUCCCACCUUGAAAACUGACACUUCGCCGGCGCUGGCAGGUGUUAUCUGCUCCUUACCAGAAUGCAGAUAAUUGAGGAGUUACACGUUGCUAUCAGCACAAUUGAAAGUUUGAGAGAAUUGUUGCCUCUCCCUCUCCCUUUCUACUUUACUCUCCUUAUUUUCACGAUCCUUGCUUGCUUUUUUGGACUUUAUGUAACAAUGGUAAAGUUUUCUGGUUUUGUUUGGGCGAUUAGGUGUUUGAGAUUUUGAAUUAGUUGCUCAGAAAAUAGUGGUUGAUAAUAAUGCUUUAAAUCAUGUUCGCAUGAGUUGUUCUUUAUCAUUCUUAAGUACGUAGUUAGAAAUGUUGGAUUUUUUUUAGUCUUACUGAUAUGGGCUAAAUUCGUACUUUUAGGUGCUACUGUGGAACCAUUUGGGUCUUUUGUGUCUCAGCUAUUUUCUUGCUGGGGAGAUCUAGAUUUAAGCUAUCCAAUGGAUUAUACAUUGCAGUUGCUGCCUGGCUGCACAAGCAGGCUUUAUUAGUGGAUGUACUUAAAGCAUUAUGGAGGGCAGGUUAUUUCUAUAAAUCAUACUUGAUCAUCUUCAUGGGGCUGGAAAUGUUUUUCUGACCACCCAAAGAGCUUUUAUUUGCGUUUUUGAAGUCUUGCAGCUUCUUAAGUUCUUCUAAGAUCACUGACAUGUAUGUCUUGAUCAGACUUUGAUGUACACCAACUCUUGAUUUAUCAAGUGCACGCCGUCACUACAACAGUUCGUUGUGAAUCCAGAAUAAAGGUAGAGAAAUGCCGACUUUACUAUCUUUGCCUCCGAGGUUGGACAAAUUCAUUCCCAAUAGAUCAGCUAUGGAUUUUGAUUACGCCCACUACACGCUGCAUUUCUCUUCUUUGCUGCUGCUUCUGUGCUAUUGUUCUGCUUUUUGCGCUGCUACUUAAAAAGCUGUUGUUCUGCUACUUCAUUUUUUUCUGCUCAACUCUUGCCAUAAGUGUAUAAGCUUCAAUGUUUUAAAUCAAAUUGUAAUAUUACAGCUUGUAUGAAUGAAAAUUAUAAGCUUAUACA